GCCUGGCUAGCUCAGUCGGUAGAGCAUGAGACUCUUAAUCUCAGGGUAGUGGGUUCAAGCCCCAUGUUGGGCG
Molecule: transfer RNA, 73 nt
Filed under: Mesitornis unicolor (brown roatelo)
Lineage: Eukaryota; Metazoa; Chordata; Aves; Mesitornithiformes; Mesitornithidae
Rfam family: tRNA
About the family: Transfer RNA (tRNA) molecules are approximately 80 nucleotides in length.
Source: Rfam by way of RNAcentral